UAGCCGUAAACGAUACUCGCUAGGUGUCGGCCACGGUGCGACCGUUGUCGGUGCCGUAGGGAAGCCGUGAAGCGAGCCACCUGGGAAGUACGGCCGCAAGGCUGAAACUUAAAGGAAUUGGCGGGGGGAGCACAACAACGGGUGGAGCUUGCGGUUUAAUUGGAUUCAACGCCGGAAAUCUUACCGGGACCGACAGCAACAUGAAGGCCAAGCUGAAGACUUUGCCGGAUUAGCUGAGAGGAGGUGCAUGGCGUAGUCGUGU
This 262-nucleotide ribosomal RNA is filed under the name uncultured archaeon. RNAcentral's name for it is "partial 16S ribosomal RNA". It matches the Rfam family "Archaeal small subunit ribosomal RNA", at positions 748 to 1009 of the family's 1478-position model. The record is from RNAcentral.